RNAcentral lists this ribosomal RNA (490 nucleotides) under uncultured bacterium. RNAcentral describes it as "partial 16S ribosomal RNA". It matches the Rfam family "Bacterial small subunit ribosomal RNA", at positions 28 to 503 of the family's 1533-position model. The record is from RNAcentral.
GACGAACGCUGGCGGCGUGCUUAACACAUGCAAGUCGAACGGAAAGGCCUGUCCUUCCUUGUGUUGGACGGGUGCUCGAGUGGCGAACGGGUGAGUAACACGUGAGUGAUCUGCCCCCAACUUGGGUAUAAGCCUGGGAAACUGGGUCUAAUUCCCGAUAGGACUGCAGGGUGGUGCCUGUGGUGGAAAACGAUUUUCUAGUGGUUGGGGAUGAGCUCGCGGCCUAUCAGCUUGUUGGUGGGGUAAUGGCCUACCAAGGCGGCGACGGGUAGCCGGCCUGAGAGGGUGGACGGCCACAUUGGGACUGAGAUACGGCCCAGACUCCUACGGGAGGCAGCAGUGGGGAAUAUUGCACAAUGGGCGGAAGCCUGAUGCAGCGACGCCGCGUGGGGGAUGACGGCCUUCGGGUUGUAAACUCCUUUCGACCGCGAGGAAGCCGCCUGGUUGGAAGGGUGGUGACGGUAGUGGUAGAAGAAGCACCGGCUAACUA